GAUGAAGAACGUAGCAAAAUGCGAUAAGUAAUGUGAAUUGCAGAAUUCAGUGAAUCAUCGAAUCUUUGAACGCACAUUGCGCCCGCCAGUAUUCUGGCGGGCAUGCCUGUUCGAGCGUCAUUACAACCCUCAGGCCCCCGGGCCUGGCGUUGGGGAUCGGCGGAGCCCCCCGUGGGCACACGCCGUCCCCCAAAUACAGUGGCGGUCCCGCCGCAGCUUCCAUCGCGUAGUAGCUAACACCUCGCGACUGGAGAGCGGCGCGGCCACGCCGUAAAACACCCAACUCUUCUGAAGUUGACCUCGAAUCAGGUAGGAAUACCCGCUGAACUUAAGCAUAUCAAUAAGCGGAGGA
RNAcentral lists this unclassified non-coding RNA (352 nucleotides) under soil metagenome. RNAcentral's name for it is "partial contains 5.8S ribosomal RNA, internal transcribed spacer 2, and large subunit ribosomal RNA". The stretch from base 1 to 120 matches the Rfam family "5.8S ribosomal RNA", at positions 35 to 154 of the family's 154-position model. The record is from RNAcentral.